UUAAGCGACUAAGCGUACACGGUGGAUGCCCUGGCAGUCAGAGGCGAUGAAGGACGUGCUAAUCUGCGAUAAGCGUCGGUAAGGUGAUAUGAACCGUUAUAACCGGCGAUUUCCGAAUGGGGAAACCCAGUGUGUUUCGACACACUAUCAUUAACUGAAUCCAUAGGUUAAUGAGGCGAACCGGGGGAACUGAAACAUCUAAGUACCCCGAGGAAAAGAAAUCAACCGAGAUUCCCCCAGUAGCGGCGAGCGAACGGGGAGCAGCCCAGAGCCUGAAUCAGUGUGUGUGUUAGUGGAAGCGUCUGGAAAGGCGCGCGAUACAGGGUGACAGCCCCGUACACAAAAAUGCACAUGCUGUGAGCUCGAUGAGUAGGGCGGGACACGUGGUAUCCUGUCUGAAUAUGGGGGGACCAUCCUCCAAGGCUAAAUACUCCUGACUGACCGAUAGUGAACCAGUACCGUGAGGGAAAGGCGAAAAGAACCCCGGCGAGGGGAGUGAAAAAGAACCUGAAACCGUGUACGUACAAGCAGUGGGAGCACGCUUAGGCGUGUGACUGCGUACCUUUUGUAUAAUGGGUCAGCGACUUAUAUUCUGUAGCAAGGUUAACCGAAUAGGGGAGCCGAAGGGAAACCGAGUCUUAACUGGGCGUUAAGUUGCAGGGUAUAGACCCGAAACCCGGUGAUCUAGCCAUGGGCAGGUUGAAGGUUGGGUAACACUAACUGGAGGACCGAACCGACUAAUGUUGAAAAAUUAGCGGAUGACUUGUGGCUGGGGGUGAAAGGCCAAUCAAACCGGGAGAUAGCUGGUUCUCCCCGAAAGCUAUUUAGGUAGCGCCUCGUGAAUUCAUCUCCGGGGGUAGAGCACUGUUUCGGCAAGGGGGUCAUCCCGACUUACCAACCCGAUGCAAACUGCGAAUACCGGAGAAUGUUAUCACGGGAGACACACGGCGGGUGCUAACGUCCGUCGUGAAGAGGGAAACAACCCAGACCGCCAGCUAAGGUCCCAAAGUCAUGGUUAAGUGGGAAACGAUGUGGGAAGGCCCAGACAGCCAGGAUGUUGGCUUAGAAGCAGCCAUCAUUUAAAGAAAGCGUAAUAGCUCACUGGUCGAGUCGGCCUGCGCGGAAGAUGUAACGGGGCUAAACCAUGCACCGAAGCUGCGGCAGCGACGCUUAUGCGUUGUUGGGUAGGGGAGCGUUCUGUAAGCCUGCGAAGGUGUGCUGUGAGGCAUGCUGGAGGUAUCAGAAGUGCGAAUGCUGACAUAAGUAACGAUAAAGCGGGUGAAAAGCCCGCUCGCCGGAAGACCAAGGGUUCCUGUCCAACGUUAAUCGGGGCAGGGUGAGUCGACCCCUAAGGCGAGGCCGAAAGGCGUAGUCGAUGGGAAACAGGUUAAUAUUCCUGUACUUGGUGUUACUGCGAAGGGGGACGGAGAAGGCUAUGUUGGCCGGGCGACGGUUGUCCCGGUUUAAGCGUGUAGGCUGGUUUUCCAGGCAAAUCCGGAAAAUCAAGGCUGAGGCGUGAUGACGAGGCACUACGGUGCUGAAGCAACAAAUGCCCUGCUUCCAGGAAAAGCCUCUAAGCAUCAGGUAACAUCAAAUCGUACCCCAAACCGACACAGGUGGUCAGGUAGAGAAUACCAAGGCGCUUGAGAGAACUCGGGUGAAGGAACUAGGCAAAAUGGUGCCGUAACUUCGGGAGAAGGCACGCUGAUAUGUAGGUGAAGCGACUUGCUCGUGGAGCUGAAAUCAGUCGAAGAUACCAGCUGGCUGCAACUGUUUAUUAAAAACACAGCACUGUGCAAACACGAAAGUGGACGUAUACGGUGUGACGCCUGCCCGGUGCCGGAAGGUUAAUUGAUGGGGUUAGCGCAAGCGAAGCUCUUGAUCGAAGCCCCGGUAAACGGCGGCCGUAACUAUAACGGUCCUAAGGUAGCGAAAUUCCUUGUCGGGUAAGUUCCGACCUGCACGAAUGGCGUAAUGAUGGCCAGGCUGUCUCCACCCGAGACUCAGUGAAAUUGAACUCGCUGUGAAGAUGCAGUGUACCCGCGGCAAGACGGAAAGACCCCGUGAACCUUUACUAUAGCUUGACACUGAACAUUGAGCCUUGAUGUGUAGGAUAGGUGGGAGGCUUUGAAGUGUGGACGCCAGUCUGCAUGGAGCCGACCUUGAAAUACCACCCUUUAAUGUUUGAUGUUCUAACGUGGACCCGUAAUCCGGGUUGCGGACAGUGUCUGGUGGGUAGUUUGACUGGGGCGGUCUCCUCCUAAAGAGUAACGGAGGAGCACGAAGGUUGGCUAAUCCUGGUCGGACAUCAGGAGGUUAGUGCAAUGGCAUAAGCCAGCUUGACUGCGAGCGUGACGGCGCGAGCAGGUGCGAAAGCAGGUCAUAGUGAUCCGGUGGUUCUGAAUGGAAGGGCCAUCGCUCAACGGAUAAAAGGUACUCCGGGGAUAACAGGCUGAUACCGCCCAAGAGUUCAUAUCGACGGCGGUGUUUGGCACCUCGAUGUCGGCUCAUCACAUCCUGGGGCUGAAGUAGGUCCCAAGGGUAUGGCUGUUCGCCAUUUAAAGUGGUACGCGAGCUGGGUUUAGAACGUCGUGAGACAGUUCGGUCCCUAUCUGCCGUGGGCGCUGGAGAAUUGAGGGGGGCUGCUCCUAGUACGAGAGGACCGGAGUGGACGCAUCACUGGUGUUCGGGUUGUCAUGCCAAUGGCACUGCCCGGUAGCUAAAUGCGGAAGAGAUAAGUGCUGAAAGCAUCUAAGCACGAAACUUGCCCCGAGAUGAGUUCUCCCUGACUCCUUGAGAGUCCUGAAGGAACGUUGAAGACGACGACGUUGAUAGGCCGGGUGUGUAAGCGCAGCGAUGCGUUGAGCUAACCGGUACUAAUGAACCGUGAGGCUUAACCUU
This 2901-nucleotide ribosomal RNA is filed under the name Escherichia coli. RNAcentral describes it as "bacterial LSU rRNA". It matches the Rfam family "Bacterial large subunit ribosomal RNA". Lineage: Bacteria; Pseudomonadati; Pseudomonadota; Gammaproteobacteria; Enterobacterales; Enterobacteriaceae. The record is from RNAcentral.